This 262-nucleotide long non-coding RNA is filed under the name Elaeis guineensis (African oil palm). Its description in RNAcentral is "long non-coding RNA (EGUI_LNC054484)". Lineage: Eukaryota; Viridiplantae; Streptophyta; Magnoliopsida; Arecales; Arecaceae. The record is from RNAcentral.
UGAGUACUCUGCUAUCAAGAGUAGCUCAUGAAGGGUAUGGAUAUAAUUAUCCCUUCGAUCUGAGAUUAUCACAGUGACUUGCAAGCAAUUCACUGUACCUUAGUGUCGGACUAUCUGAAUUUCUAAUUCAGUAACGAAAGAUUUUUGAGUGCAAUCAAGUACUUGUCAAGUCGGUGUGUGAGUCAAGAUGGGAUUGAUCCCUUCGAAUAAGUAGGAGUUAAUACAUUAGUGUAUUUCAAUUUAGUAAAAUUUGAGCUCGGAU